RNAcentral lists this ribosomal RNA (486 nucleotides) under uncultured bacterium. RNAcentral describes it as "bacterial SSU rRNA". It matches the Rfam family "Bacterial small subunit ribosomal RNA", at positions 19 to 518 of the family's 1533-position model. The record is from RNAcentral.
CUGGCUCAGAACGAACGCUGGUGGCGUGUCUAUACAUGCAAGUCGAGCGAGGCAGCAAUGCCGAGCGGCGAACGGGUGAGUAACGCGUAAGCAAUCUGCCCCAUAUCAGGAAAUACCCGUGCCAACGCGCGGUUAAUGUCCAGGAGAGUGGCCAGCUGCAUGGCUGGUUGACUAGAGAUUUAUCGGUAUGGGAUGAGCUUGCGUCCGAUUAGCUAGUUGGCGGGGCAACGGCCCACCAAGGCGACGAUCGGUAGCCGGCCUGAGAGGGUGAUCGGCCACAUUGGGACUGAGAUACGGCCCAGACUCCUACGGGAGGCAGCAGUAGGGAAUAUUGCACAAUGGGGGAAACCCUGAUGCAGCAACGCCACGUGUGGGAAGAAGCAUUUCGGUGUGUAAACCACUGCCAUGAGGGAAUAAGGCCCGCCUUCGGACGGGAUUGAAUGUACCUUGAGAGGAAGCACCGGCAAACUUCGUGCCAGCCGCAGC